CCGCCGCCACCGCCGCCGCCGCCGCCGCGGCUGCCGCAGCCUCUGGGAACCUGGAAAAGGGGAAGCGCGAGCGAGCGAACGGCUCAGUCCCCGGGCGGCGGCGGCGGCGGCGGCGGCGGCGGCGGCGGCCGGGGCGGGGGCGCUGCUGCUGCUGCUGCGGGGGGCCGGCGGCGGGGGCGGCGGCGGUGACGGCCCGCACCAGCCAUGCCGAAUAAAACCAAGAAGGAGAAAGAAGUACCAAAAGCAGGAAAAAGUGGGAAAAGUUCAAAGAAGGACAAGACGGAAUAGAGCCAGAGGUCCCCAGCAGGAAGAACAGCCUCAUCGCGGUGCCGUCGGCGGUGUCCGCCAGGGUCAAAGCGCUGCCCCCUCAGCCCACGGCGAAGAAGGAAAAGCGGCAGAAUUCCUCCAGGUUCAGCAUCACCUAUAACAGGGAACUUCAGAAACUACCGUCUCUGAAAGGUAACUUUUACUAUUUGUCUUCUAAAGUGAAAUUUUGCCUGUUUAGGGAGAAGGAGUAACGUUUCGACAGUUUAUUAGCUUCUCUUACCUUUGCUGUGUGUUCGGUCUGUAGAAUCCCCUUUUCUUCGUUACUGAUGUUUCUCUUAGAUUGAGUGCCGUUAACGCAUUUACUCGGCUAAUACUGUAAGCUCCAAGCCCGUUAAGGUAGAAAUCUACCGUGAACGUAUUAUAGGUGUUACACACUCAGAAAAAUAACAGGAAAGACUUAAAGGCCUCUCACAUUAAUUGUAAUGCAGCUGGCCGAUUGGUCUUUAAAGCAGUUCUUCUCUUCCACGUGUCUCGGAGCUGUGCGCCUCGGAGAGCCGCCACCCCGAGCAGAGCAGCCGGGAGAACUG
Long non-coding RNA from Phyllostomus discolor (pale spear-nosed bat), 854 nucleotides. RefSeq lists it as uncharacterized. The record is from RefSeq and is a predicted model, not a curated record. NCBI's taxonomy places the organism in Eukaryota, Metazoa, Chordata, Mammalia, Chiroptera, Phyllostomidae. The transcript has 3 exons.